UGAGAGAGGUCAGCGUGAGCCCCUUGCCUCACACCGGCCCCUCCCACGCUGAGAGAGGUCAGUGUGAGCCCUUGCCUCACACCGGCCCCUCCCACGCGGACAGAGGUCAGCGUGAGCCCCUUGCCUCACACCGGCCCCUCCCACGCUGAGAGAGGUCAGUGUGAGCCCUUGCCUCACCCCGGCCCCUCCCACGUGGACAGAGGUCAGCGUGAGCCCCUUGCCUCACACCGGCCCCUCCCACGCGGACAGAGGUCAGCCCGAGCCCCUUGUCUCACACCGGCCCCUCCCAUGCUGAGAGAGGUCAGCGUGCCCCUUGUCUCACACCGGCCCCUCCCACGCUGAGAGAGGUCAGCCCAAGCCCCUUGCCUCACACCGGCCCCUCCCACGCGGACAGAGGUCAGCCCGAGCUCCUUGCCUCACACCGGCCCCUCCCACGCUGAGAGAGGUCAGCGUGAGCCCCUUGUCUCACACCGGCCCCUCCCACGCUGAGAGAGGUCAGCCCGAGCCCCUUGCCUCACACCGGCCCCUCCCACGCUGAGAGAGGUGUGAGCCCCUUGUCUCACACCGGCCCCUCCCACGCGGACAGAGGUCAGCGUGAGCCCCUUGCCUCACCCCGGCCCCUCCCACGCUGAGAGAGGUCAGUGUGAGCCCUUGCCUCACACCGGCCCCUCCCACGCGGACAGAGGUCAGCGUGAGCCCCUUGCCUCACCCCGGCCCCUCCCACGCUGAGAGAGGUCAGUGUGAGCCCUUGCCUCACACCGGCCCCUCCCACGCGGACAGAGGUC
This 785-nucleotide long non-coding RNA is filed under the name Homo sapiens (human). RNAcentral's name for it is "HSALNT0317694". The record is from RNAcentral. Lineage: Eukaryota; Metazoa; Chordata; Mammalia; Primates; Hominidae.